GAUGAACGCUAGCUACAGGCUUAACACAUGCAAGUCGAGGGGCAGCACAGUGUAGCAAUACAUGGGUGGCGACCGGCGCACGGGUGCGUAACGCGUAUCCAACCUUCCCGUUACUCUUGGAUAGCCUUCCGAAAGGGGAGAUUAAUACAAGAUGGUAUUCAAAUUCCGCAUGUUAUUUGAAUUAAAGAUUUAUCGGUAACGGAUGGGGAUGCGUGACAUUAGAUAGUAGGCGGGGUAACGGCCCACCUAGUCUACGAUGUCUAGGGGUUCUGAGAGGAAGGUCCCCCACACUGGAACUGAGACACGGUCCAGACUCCUACGGGAGGCAGCAGUGAGGAAUAUUGGUCAAUGGGCGGAAGCCUGAACCAGCCAAGUAGCGUGCAGGAUGACGGCCCUACGGGUUGUAAACUUCUUUUGUUCGGGAAUAAAGUGCGGCACGCGUGCCGUUUUGUAUGUACCGUUCGAAUAAGCAUCGGCUAAUUCCGUG
This 487-nucleotide ribosomal RNA is filed under the name uncultured bacterium. Its description in RNAcentral is "bacterial SSU rRNA". It matches the Rfam family "Bacterial small subunit ribosomal RNA", at positions 28 to 507 of the family's 1533-position model. The record is from RNAcentral.